RNAcentral lists this microRNA precursor (92 nucleotides) under Canis lupus familiaris (dog). RNAcentral describes it as "mir-8799 microRNA precursor family". It matches the Rfam family "mir-8799 microRNA precursor family". Lineage: Eukaryota; Metazoa; Chordata; Mammalia; Carnivora; Canidae. The record is from Rfam by way of RNAcentral.
GGGGAGAGCCAGGAUCCUGGGCUGUGUCCCCUGGUGCCCUGGGAUCGAGGGCCUGUGCUGCUGGAAUUGCACUCCCGGGGCCGCGGCUCCCG